This 580-nucleotide ribosomal RNA is filed under the name uncultured bacterium. RNAcentral describes it as "partial 16S ribosomal RNA". It matches the Rfam family "Bacterial small subunit ribosomal RNA", at positions 355 to 927 of the family's 1533-position model. The record is from RNAcentral.
UGGGGAAUUUUGGACAAUGGGGGAAACCCUGAUCCAGCCAUCCCGCGUGUGCGAUGAAGGCCUUCGGGUUGUAAAGCACUUUUGGCAGGAAAGAAACGUCGCGGGUUAAUACCCCGCGAAACUGACGGUACCUGCAGAAUAAGCACCGGCUAACUACGUGCCAGCAGCCGCGGUAAUACGUAGGGUGCAAGCGUUAAUCGGAAUUACUGGGCGUAAAGCGUGCGCAGGCGGUUCGGAAAGAAAGAUGUGAAAUCCCAGAGCUUAACUUUGGAACUGCAUUUUUAACUACCGGGCUAGAGUGUGUCAGAGGGAGGUGGAAUUCCGCGUGUAGCAGUGAAAUGCGUAGAUAUGCGGAGGAACACCGAUGGCGAAGGCAGCCUCCUGGGAUAACACUGACGCUCAUGCACGAAAGCGUGGGGAGCAAACAGGAUUAGAUACCCUGGUAGUCCACGCCCUAAACGAUGUCAACUAGCUGUUGGGGCCUUCGGGCCUUGGUAGCGCAGCUAACGCGUGAAGUUGACCGCCUGGGGAGUACGGUCGCAAGAUUAAAAACUUAAAGGAAUUGACGGGGGUGCAUAGC